CGCCAGGGCUGGGCCAUUUGGGAAAGUCCGUGGCGGAGGCACAGGGCUGGGCUGGAAGCGAGGGAGGUGCCUGCGAGGAAGGGCAGGGGCCACUCUGUGGUCAGUGGAAUGGGAUUAGGAUCGGGAUUAGGACUCCUAGUGUGGAAACAGCAUGGACAUCCCACCGCAAAGGUGUCUCUCUGCUUUCAGGAAACGGCCGGGAGCGAAGCAGCUUUCUGACAGGCAUUACGGUCCCAGCGUGGAAAGUGUCCGGGUACCUGACACGCAGACAGGCCCUCUUCUGCUGGGCCAUCCAGAUCCUUAGUGACCCUCCAUGUGGCAAAUGGGACAGGUGUGUUUGUACCCCAUGAAAGGUCAGCACGGUAUUAAAAUGGAAUCAUCGGAGUUCCCGUCAUGGCACAGCGGAAACGAAUCCGACUAGGACCCAUGAAGUGGCGGGUUUGAUCCCUGGCCUUGCUCAGUGAGUUAAGGAUCUGGCAUUGCCGUGAACUGUGGCGUAGGUCCCAGAUGCGGCUUGGAUCCUGUGUUGCUGUGGCUCUGGUGUAGGCCAGCAGCUAUAGCUCGGAUUAGACUCCUAGCCUGGGAACCUCCAUAUGCCGCGGGUGCAACCCUUAAAAAUACAAAAGAAAAAUAAAUAAAUAAAUAAAUAAUAAAACGGAAUCA
RNAcentral lists this long non-coding RNA (663 nucleotides) under Sus scrofa (pig). RNAcentral describes it as "lncRNA (ENSSSCG00070012007.1)". Lineage: Eukaryota; Metazoa; Chordata; Mammalia; Artiodactyla; Suidae. The record is from RNAcentral.